UACGUAGGGGGCUAGCGUUGUCCGGAAUCAUUGGGCGUAAAGCGCGCGUAGGCGGCCAGAUAAGUCCGGUGUGAAAGUCACAGGCUCAACCUGUGAAUGCCGCUGGAAACUGUCUGGCUAGAGUCCGGAAGGGGCGAGUGGAAUUCCUGGUGUAGCGGUGAAAUGCGCAGAUAUCAGGAGGAACACCGGUGGCGAAGGCGGUUCUCUGGGCCUUACCUGACGCUGAGGAGCGAAAGCGUGGGGAGCAAACAGG
This 253-nucleotide ribosomal RNA is filed under the name uncultured bacterium. RNAcentral's name for it is "partial 16S ribosomal RNA". It matches the Rfam family "Bacterial small subunit ribosomal RNA", at positions 524 to 776 of the family's 1533-position model. The record is from RNAcentral.